UCGCGCUAGACGGGGAGGUAGCGGUGCCCUGUACCCGCAAUCCGCUAUAGCGGGGUCGAAUUCCCCACCGAGGGGGUGCGUUCUCGGGUCUGCUCCGACGGCAUCGGCGCUGACGGCCGGGUCCUGCGCAACCCGGGCCCGUGAACCCCGUCAGGUCCGGAAGGAAGCAGCGGUAAGCGGUCCCCCGGGGGUGCCGCAGUCAACCUGGCCCGAGCUGGGCCGUCGGGUGAGCGCCGGCGACACGCCUUCGACGUGGGGUGCGCGA
This 265-nucleotide signal recognition particle RNA is filed under the name Chloroflexota bacterium. Its description in RNAcentral is "Chloroflexi bacterium signal recognition particle sRNA large type". It matches the Rfam family "Bacterial large signal recognition particle RNA". Rfam says of the family: The signal recognition particle (SRP) is a universally conserved ribonucleoprotein involved in the co-translational targeting of proteins to membranes. The record is from RNAcentral. Lineage: Bacteria; Bacillati; Chloroflexota.